This 102-nucleotide small nuclear RNA is filed under the name Sphenodon punctatus (tuatara). RNAcentral describes it as "U5 spliceosomal RNA (ENSSPUG00000008513.1)". It matches the Rfam family "U5 spliceosomal RNA". Rfam says of the family: U5 RNA is a component of both types of known spliceosome. The record is from Rfam by way of RNAcentral. Lineage: Eukaryota; Metazoa; Chordata; Lepidosauria; Sphenodontia; Sphenodontidae.
GCCUCUGGUUUCUCUUCAAAUCGUACAAAUGUUUUGCCUUUUACUAAAGAUUUCGGUGGAGAGAAGCGGAGCUGACUCUGCCGUGCUUCCCCACAGAAGCGG